This is a long non-coding RNA of Dermacentor silvarum, 406 nucleotides long. RefSeq lists it as uncharacterized. The record is from RefSeq and is a predicted model, not a curated record. The transcript has 3 exons. Lineage: Eukaryota; Metazoa; Arthropoda; Arachnida; Ixodida; Ixodidae.
GGGAGGCCGUGUUUGCUUCGUUCUGCCGAACAGCAGGCUGCGUUGAAGGAACGCAAGCGGGAGCGGGCCCGUGAACGUGCUCGUACGUGUUCGUACGAAUCCAGACCUUCGGCAAGCUGAGUCGAAGCGAAACGACAACGUUUAUCACUGCUUGUAGCAAUCCUGUCCCCACUGGGUGGUGGCGAAACUGUCGAAGUGGCGACACCGAAACCCGCCGGUACCGGACAUACCAACUGGAAAGGAGGCGAGCAAGAGGGCAGCAACAGAGGACAGCAAAGUGGAGCAGGGAUUCGUCCAACACAUAAAGAAGAACCCAAGAAGCCCGGAGGUGCCGGAGGUUUCAUCGGGAAAGGAGGUGGCGAAGAGGGCAGCAGCAAUGGACCAGGAAAUGGAGAAGGAAGCCGCC